AAAGUUCACUCAUAUGAUGCUGACCCCCGUUUGGCAGGGUGAUGGGUGAGGGCCAGCUUUCACAUACGGAGCCCAGUGUGGAGAGCCAGCAUGGGGGUUUUCUGAGGUCUCUUUUCCUUUUGUUUCUGUCUAACAUUCUUACCACCUCCUGUCGGCCAGCUUCCGCUCCUAUAGCCUUGAGGAACAUCUAUAUUGUCUCUCCGUCUCAAUCAAGCACACAGUCUCUUUGUCUCUCUGUCCAUCAGGUUCAAUUCUGAAGCAAAGGGGGACUCCAUCUCUAGCCUCCAACAGCCGUCAUCUGCCCAGUGGGGUUUGUUUGUACUCGCUCCGAGCAGGAGCUCCGCAUUUC
This is a long non-coding RNA of Rhinichthys klamathensis goyatoka, 349 nucleotides long. RefSeq lists it as uncharacterized. The record is from RefSeq and is a predicted model, not a curated record. NCBI's taxonomy places the organism in Eukaryota, Metazoa, Chordata, Actinopteri, Cypriniformes, Leuciscidae. The transcript is spliced from 3 exons.